This 254-nucleotide ribosomal RNA is filed under the name uncultured bacterium. Its description in RNAcentral is "partial 16S ribosomal RNA". It matches the Rfam family "Bacterial small subunit ribosomal RNA", at positions 524 to 776 of the family's 1533-position model. The record is from RNAcentral.
CACGUAGGGACCAAACGUUGUCCGGAUUCAUAGGGCGUAAAGAGCUCGUAGGCGGUUCGAUAAGUCGGGUGUGAAACCUCCAGGCUCAACCUGGAGACGCCACCCGAUACUGUCGUGACUAGAGUCCAGUAGGGGAGCGUGGAAUUCCUGGUGUAGCGGUGAAAUGCGCAGAUAUCAGGAGGAACACCAGCGGCGAAGGCGGCGCUCUGGGCUGGAACUGACGCUGAGGAGCGAAAGCGUGGGGAGCGAACAGG